GACGAACGCUGGCGGCGCGCCUAACACAUGCAAGUCGAACGGAGCUUAGAGAGCUUGCUUUUUAAGCUUAGUGGCGAACGGGUGAGUAACGCGUGAGUAACCUGCCCUAGAGUGGGGGACAACAGUUGGAAACGACUGCUAAUACCGCAUAAGCCCACGGUACCGCAUGGUACUGAGGGAAAAGGAUUUAUUCGCUUUAGGAUGGACUCGCGUCCAAUUAGCUAGUUGGUGAGGUAACGGCCCACCAAGGCGACGAUUGGUAGCCGGACUGAGAGGUUGAACGGCCACAUUGGGACUGAGACACGGCCCAGACUCCUACGGGAGGCAGCAGUGGGGGAUAUUGCACAAUGGGGGAAACCCUGAUGCAGCGACGCCGCGUGGAGGAAGAAGGUCUUCGGAUUGUAAACUCCUGUUGUUGAGGAGAUAAUGACGGUACUCAACAAGGAAGUGACGGCUAACUACGUG
This 465-nucleotide ribosomal RNA is filed under the name uncultured bacterium. RNAcentral's name for it is "bacterial SSU rRNA". It matches the Rfam family "Bacterial small subunit ribosomal RNA", at positions 28 to 507 of the family's 1533-position model. The record is from RNAcentral.